Long non-coding RNA from Lemur catta (Ring-tailed lemur), 2883 nucleotides. RefSeq lists it as uncharacterized. The transcript has 2 exons. The record is from RefSeq and is a predicted model, not a curated record. Lineage: Eukaryota; Metazoa; Chordata; Mammalia; Primates; Lemuridae.
GCAGAGCCUGCGGCAUCUCCCAGCGUCCGUCCUCACCUCACCUGCACGUGUCAGCUGGAAGUACAGCCACCUGCAGGGAAGACUGCGCAUCCCAGCCCACCUGGCCUUGAGGGACAAGCUGGAACUUGAGGGUUUCUGUGAAGUUCAAGGAGUGAACGCAGUUCCCAGAAGCAGCCUGGCACAGAGCAAGUGCCUCUUGCCUGUUGACUACCUUAUCAGCGCUCACCUAGUGCCUCGUGUUUGCUUUCUGGCCUCACUGGUCUUUCCCGAAACCAGCAGGAAUUCUGGCGGGCAGGAGCACCCGCAUCCUCCGUGGAGCUCAACAGGACGUGGUGAGCUGUAGAGCACUGAUUCUUUUAUGAGGGCUGGAGAAUUAGUCACACUGUAUUUAAGCAUUGGCUCUUGGAACGCAAGUGGGUUUUAUGAAAAGCUGGGUAUUUCAGCUUUCAGCUACCAACUAAACUACCACAGAAAGCGCUGCUGAUUUAACGUAUUUCAGCAGAACUCCAGGUCUGAGUAUUUCUGAUUCCCAGAGGAGGAGACAGCAUGUUCUGCCUGGGACGACUGAGCCCCUUGUCUCUGCACUGAUUGUUUCUUCUGCAUCCCGACUGUCCGGAACAGACUGGCCGACUGUCGGGAACGACGUGGCCCACAGUGCUGUGCCCUCAGUUCUUCCUCUGGACGUUUGAGUUUCUAAGUCCUCAAGACACACACGUGUUUCUCCGUGCAGAGGAGGCACCUCCCCAGCGCACGUGCACGGCAGCCGGGGUUCAGACGAGGUGCGCUCUGCUCCGCGGCUGUGCCGAGCCGUCCCCAGAGCCCCCGUGUGGGGUGUGGGGCAGGCGUCAGGACUCUGCAGCCUGAGAGUCCCUGCACUGCCGUUUAGCACUGGGGUGACUUUGGAUGAGUCAUUUCCACUCUGAGCCCUGGUUUCUCAGCUCAGUUAGUAACAAGACCCGUCACGAGGGUCGCUGCGGACCGCACUGACAUUCAACCCCGGGCACAGGUGCGUUUUGUGGAAGGCUCUCAAUACAGGGCAGCUGUGACUAUUAGCAGGCCGCGUGUGCGUCCUCCUCUCACCUCGGCAGUUCUGGGGCAUCUCCCUCACGGUGCCAGCACAACAGCUGCAUCCCUUUCCUUCCACUGGGGGUGGGCUGGUGGCCUUUCCUGCUCUCUUGGCCCCCGAGGAGGAAGUGCCAAGGGUUGUGCUCUCUGCUGCCUUCUUGAGGGACACUCGGGCCUGUCUGGGGGGCUCAGAGGCUGAGGCGGGGCUGGAGGGCACUGUGCCCGGUGAGGUCCAGGGUGGGACCUGCUCUGCUCCCAGGGCAGCAAAGCCCCCGGGGAGGAUGGGUCGGCCCGUGAGGACAGCGAGCUGCAAAGCAGAAGGAAACAUUCCUAAACGCUCAGUGCCAACAGACCCACGUUGUGCGACCAUGCUGGAGGGCGGCUGAGUCGUCCUCCUCUGAGUGUGGUGCAGACGGUGAGAACCUCAGCACAAGCCGGCCAGGGGAGGGACGUCAGCUGGGAUGAGCUCCGUCCCCUGAAGAGCCGCCUGUUCUCCUCGCUCCGCGCCCCGUCUUCCCGUUCACGGUGCUGUCGGCCCCCCCAGGGCAGGGACACCCUCGGCACGGGGGAGGUGGGUCACUAGUGAAUGAGUUGUUUGCAGUUGGCUUUGGAGACACACGGAGGUGAUGGGCGCACAACAUUGUGGAUGCAGCUAUUGCCACCGAGUUGUGCACCUAAAAAUGGUUAAAAUGGCAACUUUUAUAUUCAUUUUCUUUACCACAGUUAAAAAAAAACUCAGAUCAAUGAGUGGUAAAAUGUGAGAAAGGUAACCUUAAAGUUAAAAAAUAGGAGAUUAUCUUAAUGACUUUGGGACAGAAAAGCCCACAAAUGCACAAGUCAUAGAGGAAAACAUUGAUACAUUUAAAUAAGUAACAUUGAAAAAGUCACCGGAAACCACCUGAAAAUAAAAGCCGCAAACUGGGCAAACACAGAGUCACAAUGAAUAUGAGCGGAAAAGAAUUAGCAUAACUUGUAAAGGAAUUCCACGCAGCUACGGGAAAGUAGCACAACCCCAACUAGACAGAGCCCACGGGCAGGCAACUCACAGGAGAGAAACCGGCAGGCAGGGAAGAUGGAGGGACGGAGCUCGGCUGCUGUGCACGGCCGUGCCCUGGCCCCGAGUGGGACAUGCAUCUCUGCUCCGCUGGCCGAGGAGCGAGGGUCUGACCAGGCCCCGUGCGGGGACGCAGAGCUGCAGGGGCUGAGUGUGGGGACCGGAGCCCACGCUGGAGGUCGGGCAAAUGUGAUGCAGGCAGGUCACGCACCUCGAGUUCCAGGGGUCGCCCUCCAGCACCCCGGGGAACCCACACCCGAGUAGAAUUUUAUUUUGGAAUUGCGAGAAACUGAAAAUGCCCAUCUGCAAGGGAAGAAAGUGAUCAAGCUUGGCGCAGUAACACACCAAAUACUGAAUAACCAAGAGCUGCAGGCACCGCCGCCAUUGGUGGCAUCAGGGCGCAGCCGCUGCUGCAGCUGGCUGGGCUGGGUUUCCGAAGGGCCCAAAGUGGGGCUCGGAGUCCAGGGAAUUCCAAGGUGGCAGUUCCGGGUGGGGCCCCUGGACCCCUGUAGGCCACGGGGUGGAUUUUGACAAGUGGAGAAGGCGGAUGACGACGAAGUGUCCCUUGGAAAGUUGAAGGACAGCAGAUAGGCCCGUGUGGCCGGGACUGGGGACAAGACAGGAAGCAGCUCGGCCUGGAUCUGGCAGGAGUCUCGCCCGGCGGGGAGGCGGCCAAGAAAGUGAGAGUGUUCACUCUUGAAUUUAUGUUUUUAGUUCUAUUUCAUUUGACAAUGAAAGUAUGGUUUUAUAUUGUUUUAUUUUAA